UCCGAUAUGGUGUAACGGCUAACAUUGCCGCCUUUCAUGUGAUCGCGGCAGCUCGGGGUUCGAUUCCCCGUGUCGGAA
Molecule: non-coding RNA, 78 nt
Organism: Pleurotus pulmonarius
Lineage: Eukaryota; Fungi; Basidiomycota; Agaricomycetes; Agaricales; Pleurotaceae
Source: the annotation of a GenBank genome assembly